Molecule: ribosomal RNA, 999 nt
Filed under: Bacillus thuringiensis
Lineage: Bacteria; Bacillati; Bacillota; Bacilli; Caryophanales; Bacillaceae
Description: partial 16S ribosomal RNA
Rfam family: Bacterial small subunit ribosomal RNA
Source: RNAcentral
GCAGACAUGCUACGUGAUCAGCUGCACUGACGUACCUUACCAGUAAGCCAUGCCUACCUACGUGCAGCAGCUGCGGUAUAGCUAGCUGCUAGCGUAUCCUGUAUUAUUGGCGUAAAGGCGCCGCGCAGUUGCUUUCUUAAGUCUGAUGGUGACAGCCCACGGCUCCAACCGGGGGAGGGGUCAUUGGAAUACUGGAAGACUGAGUGCAGGAGGAGGAAAGUGGAUUUCCAUGGUGUAGGCGGUGUAUGCCGAGGAGAUAGGGAGGAACCACCAGGUGGCGAGGGGACCUUUCUGGUCGGUAACUACCACGGGGGCGCGAAAGCGUGGGGACCAACCAGGUUAAGAUACCUUGGUAUUCCACGCGGUAAAGGUUGAUUGCUAAGUGUAGGAGGGUUUCCCCCCUUUAGUGCGGAAGUAAAGCCUUUAACCAUUCCCCCGGGGGAGUACGGCGGCAAGGCUGAAACUAAAGGGAAUGGAGGGGGCCCGCCCCAGGCGGGGGACCUGGUGGUUUAUUUGGAACCAACGGGAAGACCCUACCCAGGUCUGGACUUCUUUGGCCACCCCAAAAAAUAGGGUUUUCCUUUGGGAAGAAGAUUACCGGGUGGGCCAUGGUGUUGUUCACCCCGGUUCUUAAGAGGUUGGGUUAAUUCCCCCAACAAGGCCACCCCUUAUUUUUGGUGCCCUCCUUUAAGUGGGCAAUUUUAAGGUGACGCCGGGGGCCAACCCGGGGGAAGGGGGGAGGACGCCAAUUCUCCAUCCCCCUUUUACCUUGGGCACCCCCCUUGCUCAAAUGGACGGUCCAAAAAGCGCCAAAACCCCAAGGGGGAGUUAUUUUCAAAAACCCUUUUCCAUUUCGGAUGUUGGGUUCCAAUUGCCCUCCUUAAACCGGGAAUCCUUGUUAAUCGGGGUUCACCUGGCCCCGAGAAAACGUCCCCGGCCCUCCCCCCCCCCUUUUGGGGUCCCCCAGGGGGGGGUUAUUUUGUCCCCCCCUCUUCAACU